UCACUGGUGUUCGGGUUGUCAUGCCAAUGGCAUUGCCCGGUAGCUAAAUUCGGAAGAGAUAACCGCUGAAAGCAUCUAAGCGGGAAACUUGCCUCGAGAUGAGUCUUCCCUGGGGCUUUAAGCCCCCUGAAGGAACG
RNAcentral lists this ribosomal RNA (137 nucleotides) under Yersinia aldovae ATCC 35236. Its description in RNAcentral is "partial 23S ribosomal RNA". It matches the Rfam family "Bacterial large subunit ribosomal RNA", at positions 2706 to 2837 of the family's 2925-position model. Lineage: Bacteria; Pseudomonadati; Pseudomonadota; Gammaproteobacteria; Enterobacterales; Yersiniaceae. The record is from RNAcentral.